Molecule: ribosomal RNA, 433 nt
Filed under: uncultured bacterium
Lineage: Bacteria
Description: partial 16S ribosomal RNA
Rfam family: Bacterial small subunit ribosomal RNA
Source: RNAcentral
AACGAACGCUGGCGGCAUGCCUAACACAUGCAAGUCGAACGAGACCUUCGGGUCUAGUGGCGUACGGGUGCGUAACGCGUGGGAACCUGUCCUUAGGUUCGGAAUAACUCCCCGAAAGGGGUGCUAAUACCGGAUAAUGUCUUCGGACCAAAGAUUUAUCGCCUUUGGAUGGGCCCGCGUUGGAUUAGCUAGUUGGUAGGGUAAAAGCCUACCAAGGCGACGAUCCAUAGCUGGUCUGAGAGGAUGAUCAGCCACACUGGGACUGAGACACGGCCCAGACUCCUACGGGAGGCAGCAGUGGGGAAUAUUGGACAAUGGGCGAAAGCCUGAUCCAGCAAUGCCGCGUGAGUGAUGAAGGCCUUAGGGUUGUAAAGCUCUUUUACCCGGGAUGAUAAUGACAGUACCGGGAGAAUAAGCUCCGGCUAACUCCGUG